GCAGUAAAGUCCUGAGUGUUGGAGUCUGGAAACCAACGGGCGGCUGGGGCCGCUUCGGGUUCAGACACAGACCGAGUUCUGUGGGGCUUGAAACCGGGCUCAAGGAACACAGAUCUGGGGCUCAGAAACGGAGUCCGGAGCCCGGCUCAUGUGGUCAGUUGCGGGGCUCAAUGAGAGCCCCAGUCCUGUGUUUUGGUGCUCAAAAGCCAGGGUCAGAGCUUAGAAGCGCAGUCCCGUGUAUGGCAGCCUUGAGGUGACUCCUGUGCUGAUGCCGGGGCUCAGACACAGACCCAGGCCUGCACUCGGGGGCUCACACCCACACUCCUUGCCCAGCUUUGGGGCCCUAGGGUCAGCUCCGCGGCUCCAGGACGGAUGCGGCGGUGCCCGGCCCGUGAAUGGCUCCGCCGCGGCCAACACCGGCAAGGGGCGGCCCCGACCGAGGGACCCACUGCCAUCGCCGGCGGAAGAGGCGGAGCGGGGGGCGGAGGGAGGCGGAGCCGAAGUGGUUUGAACCUUGGCGGCUGCCGUACGCGCUGCGUUGUCUCUCUCUGCGCAGGCGUCGUCACGGCCGGUCCGGGCUCCCCCGGAGGGGCACAGGGAAACCUUCUGAAAUGCUUGAACCAACUAUGAGGAAUAACAAAACUGGGACGAAUAUCUGCAUACACAGAAAAACACCUCAAACUGACCUUCAGGUUAUAUUCUCUUGGAUAAAACAGAACAUGAAACAGUGAUGCCACCUGAGUUUUCAAUAAGAUCUGCUGAAAUAAACCAACAAGAAGUACAACAGGAUCCCAGAACAAGCUGAAGUAUGGAAAUCGCAAAAUCUUCACCUUCCAAUGGGAGAUGAUCAGUUCUUCAUAGUUGGAAAGCCAUUUACUUAAAAAGAAAAGAAGAAAUACUAGUAAAGCACACCAGCAGGUUAAUUCUGUUUAUACACACACUGAACUAAAAGGAACAUCAGCAGUUUUAAUACCCCAGAAAAAACACUAGAAGCUUUAACAGUUUUGCUAGACACUGCAGAAGUACCCAGCAGAAUUAGGUUUCCUAGCUUCAACAACCACAAAAGUAAGUACUACAAAGUGUAUCAUCUUUGUGCAACAAAUCAUACUUGGGGGCAUUUUUUUAUUAAUUAGUUCAAAAUGAGGUUCCCAAACCAUCAUUUAGGAGUACAUAAAGUCUAUGUGCUUCAUGUUUCUCAAAGCACUUUCAGUUGUGCUUUGGACACUGGGUAAUAUUUAAGGCAAAAGCCAUUUUUGAUGCUGCAUUGAAUACUUUAAUGGCACUAUAACUCACUGUUCACUGCUGCCUACCAUUAGGUUUAGAAAACAGAAGAAGGUUAGAGCGAACUACUCAAGUAAAUGUGACAGCCUGUCCCUGAUGAGCUUAAGAGGGCCAAAACACAACUUCAGUGAAGUUCCUCCUUCCAACUUAACAAGUAUACAAGAUCUAGAAACAUUCACAUACAACUCUAGGCUAAGUCAGCCAAAAAAGCAAAAUUCUAUCAUGCUUUGCUUUAAAGCCUAACACAUUCAAGGCCAUUAAAACCUUAGUAACUAAAAAUGUGUCAAGUGUAAGGUUUUAUGAGUGUAAAUCCAUAUCUGCAGCCCUGGACAGGUCAGUGCAUUAAUACAAAGAGUUCUCUUUUGGCAAAUCUAUGUUGAUUCAGAGAGGCAUCUGUAAAAGCUCACAGGGCAGUCAAAGGCCAAAAUAACAAACUUAUACCACACUAAUCCUUUCAAAAGGAAAGCAAACAAACAUGAAUCUUGGUUGAGAUUCUUUCAUGCUCUUCAUUGCUUUGCAUGUAAAAUCCUAUCCCAUGCCUCUGUGUAUUUAACACAAUCUACAGUCAGUCUUUCUGACAAGGACUGAGGUUAAUGACUUACAAGCAUCUAUUUGUAUAUUUAAUGCAUCUGUGGAAGCUUUUCUAGCCCAAGCUCCAGUUUCGUCUUACUAGGCAGAACCACUCUUAGUACAGUUCUAGUAUCCAGUGUACAGUAGUUCUGUUCAAGUUAAAGCUGUAUUGUGGUUUACUCAUGCACUACAGUAACGUGCACAGGCAUCUAACUAGAGAAUUCAGUCUGAAAAGGUACGUUGAAUGGGUGGCAAAGAGAUAUGUAAAACUAUCAGCAUUAAUAUUACUCAUGUUGGAAGAGGCAGUAUUACUUAAAACCAAACUGACUCCUUGACAUCCUUGAAAGAGGGGCUCUGAGACCAAAACCAAAGCGUCAAGAAUUUGGUGCAGUUUGGGGAGGAAACAACAUGGAAGAAUUAAUAUUGUACAGAUUGUGUUUGUAGGCAAAAGUGACGCUGGAGCAUUGCUAAGAACAUG
This is a long non-coding RNA of Melopsittacus undulatus (budgerigar), 2329 nucleotides long. The record is from Ensembl. NCBI's taxonomy places the organism in Eukaryota, Metazoa, Chordata, Aves, Psittaciformes, Psittaculidae.